UUUCCGGCUGUGUGUCCAAUGGGGAGAAAGACGUAAGCGGGACUCUUCAAAUUUUCAGUCUUUAUCGUCUCCAGUGCUCGUCUUCUCGCUGUUAAUUUUCACACACUGGAAGGCCACGAGGGGAGCGAUGGACGUGUUUCCCAAGCUACUGCUGCGGCCUGAAGUUGAAGAUCACUUGAGGAACACAUUUAGAAAUGCAGAGCUCCUGCAUACGCUGAGCCAUGAAGAGGCGAAUGGAAGGUUUGAACAGCUGCUGAGUCGCCUCUCGCACCCUCCGUC
Polypterus senegalus (gray bichir) is the source of this 279-nucleotide long non-coding RNA. RefSeq lists it as uncharacterized. The transcript is spliced from 3 exons. NCBI's taxonomy places the organism in Eukaryota, Metazoa, Chordata, Cladistia, Polypteriformes, Polypteridae. The record is from RefSeq and is a predicted model, not a curated record.